CCUACGGGGGCAGCAGUGGGGAAUCUUGGACAAUGGGCGAAAGCCUGAUCCAGCCAUGCCGCGUGUGUGAAGAAGGCCUUCGGGUUGUAAAGCACUUUCAGUGGGGAAGAAAGCCUUGGGGCUAAUACCCUCGAGGAAGGACAUCACCCACAGAAGAAGCACCGGCUAACUCCGUGCCAGCAGCCGCGGUAAUACGGAGGGUGCGAGCGUUAAUCGGAAUUACUGGGCGUAAAGCGCGCGUAGGCGGUCUGAUAAGCCGGUUGUGAAAGCCCCGGGCUCAACCUGGGAACGGCAUCCGGAACUGUCAGGCUAGAGUGCAGGAGAGGAAGGUAGAAUUCCCGGUGUAGCGGUGAAAUGCGUAGAGAUCGGGAGGAAUACCAGUGGCGAAGGCGGCCUUCUGGACUGACACUGACGCUGAGGUGCGAAAGCGUGGGUAGCAAACAGGAUUAGAUACCCUAGUAGUC
RNAcentral lists this ribosomal RNA (464 nucleotides) under Vreelandella stevensii. Its description in RNAcentral is "partial 16S ribosomal RNA". It matches the Rfam family "Bacterial small subunit ribosomal RNA", at positions 338 to 795 of the family's 1533-position model. The record is from RNAcentral. Lineage: Bacteria; Pseudomonadati; Pseudomonadota; Gammaproteobacteria; Oceanospirillales; Halomonadaceae.